AUGGGAGCAAAAGUAAGAGGUAGAGGUUGCUUUGAUGUUGGGGGUGUUGGUGGUAAUGAGGGUGAUGUUAGGAUAUGUGGUAGUUGAAGUAUGGAGGCUGAGGCUGUGUUGGCGGUGUUGUUGGUGGUGAGGGUGGUGAUGUUAAGAUGUUUAGGAAUUGAAGCAAGAAGGUGGAGGCUGUGUUGGCGGUGUUGUUGGUGGUGAGGGUGGUGAUGUUAAGAUGUUUAGGAGUUGAAGUAAGAAGGUGGAGGCUGUGUUGGCGGUGUUGUUGGUGGUGAGGGUGGUGAUGUUAAGAUGUUUAGGAAUUGAAGCAAGAAGGUGGAGGCUGUGUUGGUGAUGAUGGUGGUGAGCGGAGCCUCGUGUGUGGUAUUGAAGCUCAAAUAGGCGUGAGGACAGAAGGCUUGAGUGCAUGUGUGUGGGACGGAAGCGCCACGGACAUGCCUGGAUGCAGCCGGGUGUGUUUGCGGGGGGGCGGGCGAGGCGGGAACCGGCAGUGGAGUACGGAUAUGUAACCACCACUCCAAGAACAGGAUAACUAGUAGGCAAGAUGUGUGGCGGGGAGCAAGAACAGCUACAACAAUACUUCAACCACCCCACCAACAACACCCCCACCCCCACCACCCCAGCGAAAACCAGUCCAGCACAGGGAUGGGGGAGGCGGCAGGUGGUGGGGGAACCUGUGUGACAAGUGUGCUCCCUCCCCUCUUCCCCUUCCUCCUCCCCCCGAGUGCUCCCCCAGGGCGGGCAGUGGUCGGUAUAGCGUCUAGACCGGAAGUGUAUCGCCCGGGGCCGUCGAGCCGUCACUCAGCGUCGGGUUCUGCUCUUGCCUGAUGCAGAACAUACACAUUUUCUCCUUUGUUGAACGCCAUAACCGGCGCCAAAUUGCAUGUAUUCUCCGACGCGCCGAAGCGAUAUGGUUGUCUGAUUAUUUUCAUUC
Molecule: long non-coding RNA, 937 nt
Organism: Eriocheir sinensis (Chinese mitten crab)
Lineage: Eukaryota; Metazoa; Arthropoda; Malacostraca; Decapoda; Varunidae
Exons: 3
Source: RefSeq, a predicted model, not a curated record